This 544-nucleotide ribosomal RNA is filed under the name Salmonella enterica subsp. enterica serovar Enteritidis. RNAcentral's name for it is "partial 23S ribosomal RNA". It matches the Rfam family "Bacterial large subunit ribosomal RNA", at positions 689 to 1231 of the family's 2925-position model. The record is from RNAcentral. Lineage: Bacteria; Pseudomonadati; Pseudomonadota; Gammaproteobacteria; Enterobacterales; Enterobacteriaceae.
CGGGCGUUAAGUUGCAGGGUAUAGACCCGAAACCCGGUGAUCUAGCCAUGGGCAGGUUGAAGGUUGGGUAACACUAACUGGAGGACCGAACCGACUAAUGUUGAAAAAUUAGCGGAUGACCUGUGGCUGGGGGUGAAAGGCCAAUCAAACCGGGAGAUAGCUGGUUCUCCCCGAAAGCUAUUUAGGUAGCGCCUCGUGAAUUCAUCUCCGGGGGUAGAGCACUGUUUCGGCUAGGGGGCCAUCCCGGCUUACCAACCCGAUGCAAACUGCGAAUACCGGAGAAUGUUAUCACGGGAGACACACGGCGGGUGCUAACGUCCGUCGUGAAGAGGGAAACAACCCAGACCGCCAGCUAAGGUCCCAAAGUCAUGGUUAAGUGGGAAACGAUGUGGGAAGGCCCAGACAGCCAGGAUGUUGGCUUAGAAGCAGCCAUCAUUUAAAGAAAGCGUAAUAGCUCACUGGUCGAGUCGGCCUGCGCGGAAGAUGUAACGGGGCUAAACCAUGCACCGAAGCUGCGGCAGCGACACUGUGUGUUGUUGGGUAG